UUGAAAGACAUUUUUCUUUCACUCUUUAUAUUCUCUCAUCCAUUUUUUUCAAGCCACAAAGCCACCCUUUUAUAGUGUAAAAUAAGGUCAUCAUAAAACCUAUAUUUAAUAUAGAAUUAGGAAAAUUUAUGGAGGUUUUAUGAGGUAAAUAAAGUGCUUGUAUGUUUCAAAAUGUUGGUCAAAAUUACCUCAUAAAUUGGUCAAAGAAAAUAUUUAAUAAAAUAUUAUUUUUAUUAAAAAAACCCAACAAUCCCCCACUAUUUUAAUAAAAAUAAGAAUAAUAAUAAUAUUUGAGCUCUUGCGGAAUAUUAUGCAUAAUGAAAGUGGACAAUGCCUUCAAACCUUCACUUAGUACAAUAUGUUUCCCGUACUAGAAUCAAAGUGGACUUAGCCUUCAAACAGUGAACCUUGGGGCACGUGGAAUCAUAUUGCACACAUAAUACUCAAAGUGUCCCGAUCGAAGCUUCUAAAGCCAGCACGUUAACGGCCAUGUGCUUUAACCCAUUUCUCGUGAGAGCUCUAGAGAACAGCCUCUAAUUCUCACAGGAAGCGGCCCCACUUCCACACUCACAACGUGAAUUCUAUCAAGGAUGUUUACGUAACUCCAACACCCCACCCAUUCGGACUAUAGAAAUCAUUAAGAAAUCAAAGUCUCAACCUCACAAUUCGUUACGAGCUUUAUUAGUGCACACGCACCAUAGGGAUGGAUAAUAAAAGUGUGCACUUUUAUCACUAUCAAGUUGCUUUCAGAUUCGUUUUUCUUCGCCUAGUUCGUAGGAUCUCUAGCCCCUAGGCGGUAGUAUCAUCAUCAACAACUUUACAAAAUAUAUUAGGUUUUAAUCCAAUCCCCCUCGAUGCAUUUCAGAUGAUUUCUGAAAUAAUAUGAAAUAUAAUUUCACAAAUUUAGUAGCGCUUAUCUGACAUUUAGUCUCGUAGACUCAAUGGUUUAUUAACCAUUCUCAAAUAAUUUUACAUGUAAUAUCUCAUAGAUUUCACGUGAAUUUUCACAUAUAUUCACAGUACUGUAUUUUCUUUUAAUGGUUCCGGCUCCCAUUAAAAGAUUCUCGCUUUUGCCAACUGCAGUUUUUCAAUCACAUGUAUGAUCUAUCAAUGCACAAAUCAUUGAUUUUUCACAAUCUCAUUAAUCAAAACACAAAGCAUUUGAUUUAUCACACAUUAGGAUUUUAUAUAUCACAUUCGGUAUCAACCGGCCUCUUCACAGGCUAAUGUCAAAAUAAUCAAUCCAAAUUGAUAUGAAUUUUCAAUUUUAAAUUAUCGGCAUAUACCUCAUUCACACAAGGUGAAAAAUUGGAAUAUAAUUCCUCUCUUUUAGAUUUUCAAAAUUCAACAAUAUUGAAAACUUUGAAAAAUGUUUCACUUCACAAAUCACAAAUAUAUUUGCUAGUAUAUUUUCAGCAAAUUUAAUAAUCACAAUUAGGCAUUUGUAAAUGAUAUCAAGGUCACAUAUAUGCAAAUUUAGGCCUAUGAUAGUUACUUAUAUAAUCAAGAUUGCAAAUAAAGCAUAAUUUAUCACAUUAUCACUAUUCAAAUUUGCAAUCAUAAAGUGGGCAAUUUAAAUAAAGAUCACGUUAAAAUCAAUUGUAACAUGCUCAUAUAAGUAGACAUUAAAACCCCCACUAUUUCUCAAUAUUUAAACAAUACAUAAAAUGUUUAAUCAUAUGAUCAUGCUCUCUAAGACCCCCACUAAUUCACAUCAAAUGUUUCAACACAUACAUGAUGAAUUAAAUUCAAGAUAUAAUAUAUCAUGCUCAUUUUCUUAAUUAGGUGUGAUUACUAUGGCACCCAUUAUUUCUUAAUUUAUUUAAUCACAUACAAUAUUAACUCCACCUAAUGAAUCAUGAAUCAAGAUACAUUUCAACAAUUAUGAUCAUGUUCAAUUCUCAAUUAGAGCUAACUACCAUUACCCCCACUAAUUGUCAAUUUAAUCAGACAUUUUUUUUUCAAAAAAUAGUAUAUUAUUAAAUUUAAUCAACGCACAAAAGAUAACACAUUGGUUAAUAGUGUGCAAACGGUAACAUCAAGGGUUAAAUGCAAGUAAGCACACAUUAACCAAAUAAUUACUCAUACAUUUAAACUAGUAUAAAAGAAUUACUCUUACAUUUUAUAACUGAAGCCGAUGAUUUAUGAAAUAAUUAAUUCGAAAAUAUAUAAUUAAAAAUCUAGAACCAAUUCUUACUUUUACUUUUCUGUAACCGACUUCUCCAAUUUACAAGAUUAUUAUUCUGAUUUUUAUAGCCGUUUAGCUUAUACAAAUAAUGGCUAUAUCCUUGGGCACCAUAAAUAAUCAUAAAUAGUUUCAACUACGUGAAUUCUAAUUAAUUUGUAAUAGGACAAUGAUAUUGCUUGUUGCUGAAGAACUUUAUUUCCAGCAUAUAAUAUUAUAUAAUAAUACUAGUGAAUCAAUCCAUAUACAAAUUAAGAGCACUGAUAUAAUUUAAAAUCAUUUAAGUUAUAGCUACUAUCAUAUAAGCGACCACAUAUUAUAUUGAAAUUUCAAAUAAAUAUAUCUCAUAUGUCAGAUAGGUUACACGUACAAUAUAAUGAAAUAAAUGCAAUAAAUUGUUCAAAGCAACAAUUAAAUCACAUAACAUGCAUUUGGACUCUUGUUUUUAACAUACUCUUAGAAAUAUCAUUUUGUAUGCAAUUAUUAUUCACACAACUAUCACAAACUUAUUAUUGUAUUGCAAGAUACCAUAAUUAAUUUGGAAAUGAAGAACGUACCAGAUUCGAUUAAUUUCUAGGGUUAAUAUGCUAAGAGUCCCUUAAAUGAAACCUAAUUUGAACUAAAUGACAACCUUAAAUUCAAUCUUUUAAUUAAAUCCCUAUUUUAAAAUAAUAUAUGACACACAUCCCUAAUUUUUAUUUUAUCCCUAGUUUGCCCUUAUACCCUAAAUAAAAUAUCCCACGUUUAUUCAACUAAUCAUAUUUUUUUUUUCUCUCUUGCAUCUCGCCGCUCCCUCUCCCUCUCGCCUCUUCUUCUCAGAUUUUUUUUUUGUUUUCUAUCUCGCCGCUCACUCUCCCUCUCGCAUCCUCUUCUCCCUCUCCCUCUCGCCUCUUUAUCUUCCGGCAAGGCGUUGUGGUGGUCGAGGCGACGGCGAGAGGUUGUGGUGGUCGUGGCGGUGUUGGGCGUUUGUGGUGGUCGAGGCGGUGUUGGAGGGUUGCGGUGGUCGGCGGUGUUUGGGGGUUGCGGUGGUCGGCGGUGUUGGGGGCUGCGGUGGUCGGUGGUGUAGGGGGCUGUGGUGGUCGGCGGUGUUGGGGGCUGCGGUGGUCGGCUGUGUUGGGGGCUGCGGUGGUCGGCGGUGUUGGGGCUGCGGUGGUUGGCGGUGUUGGGGGCUGUGAUGGUCGGUGGUGUGGGGGGGCUGCGGUGGUCGUGUUGGGGGGGCUGUGGUGGUCGGCGGUGUUGGCUUCUAGGGUUUGACGGCUAUUGUGUUUACGACUAGGUUUGGCGAGAUUGGGUGUUGUUGGGUGCUAGGGUUUGGUAGUACACCGUAGUAGACUAUAGUACACUGUAGUAUACUUUGCUUUUAGGGUUUGGAUAAGUAAACUAUAGUAGAUCAUAGUACACUGUAGUACACCAUAACCAUAGUAUAUCAUAGUGUACCAUAGUGUUUCAUAGCCUACUACAAUUUUGACAACAGAUAAAAUUAAAAAAAAAUGUAAAUUGAAUAAAAAAACGAAAAAACAAUUUUUUUUAUAAUUUUCAAUAUUAUGUAGGAAAAAAAAAUAUUUUUUUAUGUUUUUUAUAAUAGUGUAAAAAUGAUAUAAUUAUAUUUUUAUAAUAAUGAAAACAAUACGACAUGAAAAAAAAGAAAUAUGUAGAGAAAAGAAAAAGAGAAAUAUGUUAUACGUGAAAAAAAUAAUAAAAAAAUGCUAGAUGGAAAAAUGAAAAUGAUAAAUGUUGUUAAAAUAUUAUUUGAUGUAUAUUACAAUUUUUAUUUGUUAAGGGUAUUUUUGGAAUGAAAUUUAUAAAGGAUGUGAAGCAAAGAUUUAGUUAGACUUGUCAUUUAGUUCUAAUAAGUUUUGUCACUAGGGACCUAUAUCUUAAGACCCCUAAUUUCUAUUACGAAUUCUUUCGAUGCCUCAAAAACGCGCACAAUUUGGCAGCUGUAGCAGUGCUCAGUAUUUGGGGCAUAUCUCUCUCGUUCGAAGUCCGAUUUCAGUGAUUCAAUAUGUUUCGGACAGCCAACAGAAAUGCCUAAAUAUUUCGUGUUUUACACAUUCUCACAUUCGGAUAUUAUCUGGUCCAAAACUGACCUCAAAAUAUGAACUCGUGAAUUGCACAAAAAUUCACCUACAACAAAAAUAAGAUUAUUAAUUUUGUUUAGUCAACACAAGAUAAUAAAUAAAAACGAAUCAUCUCCCUUUCCAUCAUGAAGGGUUGCUCUUUUGGAUCAUCGUCAAAGCUCAUCUUCAUGGGAUCAAAAAAAUUCGUCUUAAAUUGUUGGAACCACGGCUGUAAUUUGACGAUUGAUCACGAAACUUGUGGAUUGAGGCUUGUACUCCAUUUGUUCUCUAAUUUUAUAUGUAACAAGUUGCUGCAAUAAAAACCAUGAUAAUAUGGAGAUAGGCAAGGUGAGGCGCGGACUAGGUCGCUCUCUUAAGACGAAUUUCACGACCCCUUCUCUAAUGAGAUGCAAAAAAGGUUCCGAUCGUGUCGCCUAUGGGAUACAAGAGCCCAGCCUAUCUCUCCGUUGUAACUUCACCGAAAUUGCACGUUCAAGUGAAGCAGAAGCUUACACCCGACAGACAACAAGAGCUCAAUAUAUGUAUAUAAUAUAUGAUCUUUUUGAAAGACAUUUUUCUUUCACUCUUUAUAUUCUCUCAUCCAUUUUUUUCAAGCCACAAAGCCACCCUUUUAUAGUGUAAAAUAAGGUCAUCAUAAAACCUAUACUUAAUAUAGAAUUAGGAAAAUUUAUGGAGGUUUUAUGAGGUAAAUAAAGUGCUUGUAUGUUUCAAAAUGUUGGUCAAAAUUACCUCAUAAAUUGGUCAAAGAAAAUAUUUAAUAAAAUAUUAUUUUUAUUAAAAAAAC
RNAcentral lists this long non-coding RNA (5050 nucleotides) under Erythranthe guttata (spotted monkey flower). RNAcentral's name for it is "long non-coding RNA (EGUT_LNC001523)". Lineage: Eukaryota; Viridiplantae; Streptophyta; Magnoliopsida; Lamiales; Phrymaceae. The record is from RNAcentral.